CACUAUCGUUAACUGAAUACAUAGGUUAACGAGGCGAACCGGGGGAACUGAAACAUCUAAGUACCCCGAGGAAAAGAAAUCAACCGAGAUUCCCCCAGUAGCGGCGAGCGAACGGGGAGCAGCCCAGAGUCUGAAUCAGCUUGUGUGUUAGUGGAACGGUCUGGAAAGUCCGACGGUACAGGGUGAUAGUCCCGUACACCAAAAUGCACAGGCUGUGAACUCGAAGAGUAGGGCGGGACACGUGGUAUCCUGUCUGAAUAUGGGGGGACCAUCCUCCAAGGCUAAAUACUCCUGACUGACCGAUAGUGAACCAGUACCGUGAGGGAAAGGCGAAAAGAACCCCGGCGAGGGGAGUGAAAAAGAACCUGAAACCGUGUACGUACAAGCAGUGGGAGCACCUUCGGGUGUGACUGCGUACCUUUUGUAUAAUGGGUCAGCGACUUAUAUUCUGUAGCAAGGUUAACCGUAUAGGGGAGCCGCAGGGAAACCGAGUCUUAACUGGGCGUUAAGUUGCAGGGUAUAGACCCGAAACCCGGUGAUCUAGCCAUGGGCAGGUUGAAGGUUGGGUAACACUAACUGGAGGACCGAACCGACUAAUGUUGAAAAAUUAGCGGAUGACUUGUGGCUGGGGGUGAAAGGCCAAUCAAACCGGGAGAUAGCUGGUUCUCCCCGAAAGCUAUUUAGGUAGCGCCUCGUGAACUCAUCUUCGGGGGUAGAGCACUGUUUCGGCUAGGGGGUCAUCCCGACUUACCAACCCGAUGCAAACUACGAAUACCGAAGAAUGUUAUCACGGGAGACACACGGCGGGUGCUAACGUCCGUCGUGAAGAGGGAAACAACCCAGACCGCCAGCUAAGGUCCCAAAGUCAUGGUUAAGUGGGAAACGAUGUGGGAAGGCACAGACAGCCAGGAUGUUGGCUUAGAAGCAGCCAUCAUUUAAAGAAAGCGUAAUAGCUCACUGGUCGAGUCGGCCUGCGCGGAAGAUGUAACGGGGCUAAACCAUGCACCGAAGCUGCGGCAGCGACACUAUGUGUUGUUGGGUAGGGGAGCGUUCUGUAAGCCUGCGAAGGUGUGCUGUGAGGCAUGCUGGAGGUAUCAGAAGUGCGAAUGCUGACAUAAGUAACGAUAAAGCGGGUGAAAAGCCCGCUCGCCGGAAGACCAAGGGUUCCUGUCCAACGUUAAUCGGGGCAGGGUGAGUCGACCCCUAAGGCGAGGCCGAAAGGCGUAGUCGAUGGGAAACAGGUUAAUAUUCCUGUACUUGGUGUUACUGCGAAGGGGGGACGGAGAAGGCUAUGUUAGCCGGGCGACGGUUGUCCCGGUUUAAGCAUGUAGGCUGAUUGUCCAGGCAAAUCCGGAUAAUCAAGGCUGAGGUGUGAUGACGAGGCACUACGGUGCUGAAGUAACAAAUGCCCUGCUUCCAGGAAAAGCCUCUAAGCAUCAGGUAACAUCAAAUCGUACCCCAAACCGACACAGGUGGUCAGGUAGAGAAUACCAAGGCGCUUGAGAGAACUCGGGUGAAGGAACUAGGCAAAAUGGUGCCGUAACUUCGGGAGAAGGCACGCUGGUGUGUAGGUGAAGUCCCUGCGGAUGGAGCUGAGACCAGUCGAAGAUACCAGCUGGCUGCAACUGUUUAUUAAAAACACAGCACUGUGCAAACACGAAAGUGGACGUAUACGGUGUGACGCCUGCCCGGUGCCGGAAGGUUAAUUGAUGGGGUUAUCCGUAAGGAGAAGCUCUUGAUCGAAGCCCCGGUAAACGGCGGCCGUAACUAUAACGGUCCUAAGGUAGCGAAAUUCCUUGUCGGGUAAGUUCCGACCUGCACGAAUGGCGUAAUGAUGGCCAGGCUGUCUCCACCCGAGACUCAGUGAAAUUGAACUCGCUGUGAAGAUGCAGUGUACCCGCGGCAAGACGGAAAGACCCCGUGAACCUUUACUAUAGCUUGACACUGAACAUUGAGCCUUGAUGUGUAGGAUAGGUGGGAGGCUUUGAAGCGUGGACGCCAGUCUGCGUGGAGCCAACCUUGAAAUACCACCCUUUAAUGUUUGAUGUUCUAACGUUGGCCCCUUACCGGGGUUGCGGACAGUGUCUGGUGGGUAGUUUGACUGGGGCGGUCUCCUCCCAAAGCGUAACGGAGGAGCACGAAGGUUAGCUAAUCCUGGUCGGACAUCAGGAGGUUAGUGCAAUGGCAUAAGCUAGCUUGACUGCGAGCGUGACGGCGCGAGCAGGUGCGAAAGCAGGUCAUAGUGAUCCGGUGGUUCUGAAUGGAAGGGCCAUCGCUCAACGGAUAAAAGGUACUCCGGGGAUAACAGGCUGAUACCGCCCAAGAGUUCAUAUCGACGGCGGUGUUUGGCACCUCGAUGUCGGCUCAUCACAUCCUGGGGCUGAAGUAGGUCCCAAGGGUAUGGCUGUUCGCCAUUUAAAGUGGUACGCGAGCUGGGUUUAGAACGUCGUGAGACAGUUCGGUCCCUAUCUGCCGUGGGCGCUGGAGAAUUGAGGGGGGCUGCUCCUAGUACGAGAGGACCGGAGUGGACGCAUCACUGGUGUUCGGGUUGUCAUGCCAAUGGCACUGCCCGGUAGCUAAAUGCGGAAGAGAUAAGUGCUGAAAGCAUCUAAGCACGAAACUUGCCCCGAGAUGAGUUCUCCCUGAGACUUUAAGUCUCCUGAAGGAACGUUAAAGACGAUGACGUUGAUAGGCCGGGUGUGUAAGCGCAGCGAUGCGUUGAGCUAACCGGUACUAAUGAACCGUGAGGCUUAACCUU
Molecule: ribosomal RNA, 2758 nt
Filed under: Klebsiella pneumoniae
Lineage: Bacteria; Pseudomonadati; Pseudomonadota; Gammaproteobacteria; Enterobacterales; Enterobacteriaceae
Description: bacterial LSU rRNA
Rfam family: Bacterial large subunit ribosomal RNA
Source: RNAcentral